ACAGCUACGGAAGACUGAAUUGAUCAAAUAACUAUAUUAUGUUUACUUGUGCAUGAAAACCCCUAUAUAUAAUUAUACAUAGGGAUCUCGAUCUACUGAUGCUUGGUGGCCGAUAUAUAUAUAUAUAUAUAUAUAUAUGAUUGUGUCUGAGAGCUAAUAGAGUGGUUCCCAGAAACUUCAAUAUAUGUAUCUUGAGAGGG
This 200-nucleotide small RNA is filed under the name Histoplasma capsulatum var. duboisii H88. RNAcentral's name for it is "Histoplasma capsulatum H88 hypothetical RNA". The record is from RNAcentral. Lineage: Eukaryota; Fungi; Ascomycota; Eurotiomycetes; Onygenales; Ajellomycetaceae.